This is a microRNA precursor of Danio rerio (zebrafish), 78 nucleotides long. Ensembl annotates it as microRNA 457b. Its record names the gene mir457b. The record is from Ensembl. NCBI's taxonomy places the organism in Eukaryota, Metazoa, Chordata, Actinopteri, Cypriniformes, Danionidae.
GAAUGUACUAAAGCAGCACAUAAAUACUGGAGGUGAUUGUGGUGUUAUCCAGUAUUGCUGUUCUGCUGUAGUAAGACC